UACCAGCACCCCGAGUGGUCUGCACGUUUAUUGGGCCUAAAGCAUCCGUAGCCGGUUCUACAAGUCUUCCGUUAAAUCCAACUGCUUAACAGGUGGGCUGCGGAAGAUACUAUAGAGCUAGGAGGCGGGAGAGGCAAGCGGUACUCGAUGGGUAGGGGUAAAAUCCGUUGAUCCAUUGAAGACCACCAGUGGCGAAGGCGGCUUGCCAGAACGCGCUCGACGGUGAGGGAUGAAAGCUGGGGGAGCAAACCGG
This 253-nucleotide ribosomal RNA is filed under the name uncultured bacterium. RNAcentral's name for it is "partial 16S ribosomal RNA". It matches the Rfam family "Archaeal small subunit ribosomal RNA", at positions 474 to 727 of the family's 1478-position model. The record is from RNAcentral.